UACGAAGGGGGCUAGCGUUGCUCGGAAUCACUGGGCGUAAAGGGUGCGUAGGCGGGUCUUUAAGUCAGGGGUGAAAUCCUGGAGCUCAACUCCAGAACUGCCUUUGAUACUGAAGAUCUUGAGUUCGGGAGAGGUGAGUGGAACUGCGAGUGUAGAGGUGAAAUUCGUAGAUAUUCAGAAGAACACCAGUGGCGAAGGCGGCUCACUGGACCGGCAUUGACGCUGAGGUGCGAAAGCGUGGGGAGCAAACAGG
RNAcentral lists this ribosomal RNA (253 nucleotides) under uncultured bacterium. Its description in RNAcentral is "partial 16S ribosomal RNA". It matches the Rfam family "Bacterial small subunit ribosomal RNA", at positions 524 to 776 of the family's 1533-position model. The record is from RNAcentral.